AUACGUAGGUGACAAGCGUUAUCCGGAUUUACUGGGCGUAAAGGGCGUGUAGGCGGUCUUGCAAGUCAGAAGUGAAAUUCCUGAGCUCAACUCGGGCGCUGCUUCUGAAACUGCAGGACUUGAGUGCUGGAGGGGAUAGCGGAAUUCCUAGUGGAGCGGUAAAAUGCGCAGAUAUUAGGAAGAACACCGGUGGCGAAGGCGGCUAUCUGGACAGUAACUGACGCUGAGGCGCGAAAGCGUGGGGAGCAAACAGGAUUAGAUACCCUGGUAGUUCACGCCGUAAACGAUGAAUACUAGGUGUAGGGGGUAUCGACUCCCUCUGUGCCGCAGUUAACACAAUAAGUAUUCCGCCUGGGGAGUACGGCCGCAAGGUUGAAACUCAAAUGAAUUGGCGGGG
This 397-nucleotide ribosomal RNA is filed under the name uncultured bacterium. Its description in RNAcentral is "partial 16S ribosomal RNA". It matches the Rfam family "Bacterial small subunit ribosomal RNA", at positions 523 to 918 of the family's 1533-position model. The record is from RNAcentral.